UGGGUGAGGAAGAAGAGG
Molecule: microRNA, 18 nt
Filed under: Macrophomina phaseolina MS6
Lineage: Eukaryota; Fungi; Ascomycota; Dothideomycetes; Botryosphaeriales; Botryosphaeriaceae
Description: miR-1369
Source: RNAcentral